GCCCAGGUGGCGAAAGGGCAGACGCGACGGACUUAAAAUCCGUUUCCCGACAAGGGAGUGGGGGUUCGAAUCCCUUCCUGGGCACCA
This 87-nucleotide transfer RNA is filed under the name Dehalococcoidia bacterium. RNAcentral describes it as "tRNA-Leu". It matches the Rfam family "tRNA". From Rfam's summary of the family: Transfer RNA (tRNA) molecules are approximately 80 nucleotides in length. Their secondary structure includes four short double-helical elements and three loops (D, anti-codon, and T loops). Further hydrogen bonds mediate the characteristic L-shaped molecular structure. tRNAs have two regions of fundamental functional importance: the anti-codon, which is responsible for specific mRNA codon recognition, and the 3' end, to which the tRNAs corresponding amino acid is attached (by aminoacyl-tRNA synthetases). tRNAs cope with the degeneracy of the genetic code in two manners: having more than one tRNA (with a specific anti-codon) for a particular amino acid; and 'wobble' base-pairing, i.e. permitting non-standard base-pairing at the 3rd anti-codon position. RNAcentral also lists the same sequence under 1 other name. The record is from RNAcentral. Lineage: Bacteria; Bacillati; Chloroflexota; Dehalococcoidia.